RNAcentral lists this ribosomal RNA (403 nucleotides) under uncultured Campylobacterota bacterium. RNAcentral describes it as "bacterial SSU rRNA". It matches the Rfam family "Bacterial small subunit ribosomal RNA", at positions 355 to 774 of the family's 1533-position model. The record is from RNAcentral. Lineage: Bacteria; Pseudomonadati; Campylobacterota.
UGGGGAAUAUUGCACAAUGGGGGAAACCCUGAUGCAGCAACGCCGCGUGGAGGAUGACGCAUUUCGGUGUGUAAACUCCUUUUAUUAAGGAAGAAAUUUGACGGUACUUAAUGAAUAAGCACCGGCUAACUCCGUGCCAGCAGCCGCGGUAAUACGGAGGGUGCAAGCGUUACUCGGAAUUACUGGGCGUAAAGGACGCGUAGGCGGCCAGGCAAGUUAGAUGUGAAAUCCUAUGGCUUAACCAUAGAACUGCAUCUAAAACUGCUUGGCUAGAGUGGGGGAGAGGUCAGUGGAAUUAGUGGUGUAGGGGUAAAAUCCGUAGAGAUCACUAGGAAUACUCAUUGCGAAGGCGACUGACUGGAACUUAACUGACGCUGAGGCGUGAAAGCGUGGGGAGCAAACA